GAGAAAACUUGCAAGGACUGCUAAUCCAUGCCCCCGUAUUUAAAACCACGGCUUUCUCA
Non-coding RNA from Mandrillus leucophaeus (drill), 59 nucleotides. The record is from Ensembl. NCBI's taxonomy places the organism in Eukaryota, Metazoa, Chordata, Mammalia, Primates, Cercopithecidae.